RNAcentral lists this long non-coding RNA (16221 nucleotides) under Triticum aestivum (bread wheat). Its description in RNAcentral is "long non-coding RNA (TAES_LNC012360)". Lineage: Eukaryota; Viridiplantae; Streptophyta; Magnoliopsida; Poales; Poaceae. The record is from RNAcentral.
AACCAAGCAACACUAGUUAACACCAAUCCACCAUGAAGACCUUCCUCGUCUUUGCCCUCCUCGCCGUUGCGGCGACAAGUGCAAUUGCGCAGAUGGAGACUAGAUGCAUCCCUGGUUUGGAGAGACCAUGGCAGCAGCAACCAUUACCACCACAACAGACAUUUCCACAACAACCACUAUUUUCACAACAACAACAACAACAACUAUUUCCUCAACAACCAUCAUUUUCGCAGCAACAACCACCAUUUUGGCAGCAACAACCACCAUUUUCUCAGCAACAACCAAUUCUACCACAGCAACCACCAUUUUCGCAGCAACAACAACUAGUUCUACCGCAACAACCACCAUUUUCACAGCAACAACAACCAGUUUUACCUCCACAACAAUCACCUUUUCCACAACAACAACAACAACACCAACAGCUGGUGCAACAACAAAUCCCUGUUGUUCAGCCAUCCAUUUUGCAGCAGCUAAACCCAUGCAAGGUAUUCCUCCAGCAGCAGUGCAGCCCUGUGGCAAUGCCACAACGUCUUGCUAGGUCGCAAAUGUUGCAGCAGAGCAGUUGCCAUGUGAUGCAACAACAAUGUUGCCAGCAGUUGCCGCAAAUCCCCCAGCAAUCCCGCUAUGAGGCAAUCCGUGCUAUCAUCUACUCCAUCAUCCUGCAAGAACAACAACAGGUUCAGGGUUCCAUCCAAUCUCAGCAGCAGCAACCCCAACAGUUGGGCCAAUGUGUUUCCCAACCCCAACAGCAGUCGCAGCAGCAACUCGGGCAACAACCUCAACAACAACAAUUGGCACAGGGUACCUUUUUGCAGCCACACCAGAUAGCUCAGCUUGAGGUGAUGACUUCCAUUGCGCUCCGUAUCCUGCCAACGAUGUGCAGUGUUAAUGUGCCGUUGUACAGAACCACCACUAGUGUGCCAUUCGGCGUUGGCACCGGAGUUGGUGCCUACUGAUAAGGAAAGAUCUCUAGUAAUAUAUAAUUGGGUCACCGUUGUUUAGUCGAUGGAUAUGUCGAUGCAGCGGUGACAAAUAAAGUGUCACACAAUGUCAUGUGUGACCCGCCCAAACUAGUUGUUUAAAUUCUGAAAUAAAAUAAAAAUAAAGUUGUAUCAAGACAAUGUUCAUAUUGGCAUUGUGUGGAUGUCAAUCUGAUUGCCAUGCUUGCAAGUUCAUAAGUUUGUCUUUCCUUGUCACAAGCGCAACCUGGUGCCUUAAUUAAUUAUCAAUGUACUGGAAUAAUCACUAUUUAAAUAUAAUAGUGUCACUGUAAAAUUUGGGUUGAACUCUUUAUUGGUUGGAGAUUUGAGAUCUUGUUUUUUAUUGGUUUGUAUCUAGUACCAACUAGUACCACUGUCUACAGUGACAAUCACAACCAGUUUUGUUGCUAAUUAUGUUUGCUUUCUUGCAAAUACAUUCAUUGAUUCUUUGCAUGUCAAAUUAUUUGCCGAGAAAAAUACCAGCUUUUUCUUGAACUUCACAAACACCACUAGCUAGUUAAUUUGAAAUAAGCUGCCAAUUUAUUUCCUUGUAUUUAUGCCCUUUACAUCGAACCAGUACAAUCAUUGUGCUAGCUAGAGAAAAGGAGUUGCUGGCACGUUCAUGUCUAGAACUAAAUCAGACUGAAUUGAACUUGUUCUUUACAACUAGCUAGGAGCAGAAAACUUACUGUGAAUUGCACUUGAUUAUAUUUGAUUUUGUUUAAGAGCUACAGGGAAAAAUCAUCAAAAAAUGCCCUAAAAUAUCUUAUCGUAAAAUAGGUUCACCAGGAGAUACAGUCGCAAGAAAAAAAAGGCUCACCAGGAGAUAGAUGCUGCACAUUAUCAUUUAGAAAUUAGACCAAGAGAAAUGUGGAUUUGGCGGCUCAUAAUUCUAUAAGACUAUAACAGGUUGUCCAAUCAUUUAGAAAUUAGAUCAAGAAAAUGUGGAACUAAACAUAUUAAUGGCUAGGAUCAUAUUUGCACUGUGGGAACUUGGUAUGCGCGCUCCAACAUGCCCGUUGAAAGCAUUUUUUCCUCUGAUGCACAUAUGAAAUAUGACUGGUCGAAAACAGAAGAAACAGUGAGAUAAUAUGGAUGCUUGGAUGUUGUAACAAACAUAAACUUAUUAUAUAUAUAUCCAAUCCACCGAGCGGACGAACAUCCUAGGAGCUUUUCUCUCGGAGAUCGAAAAGAAACGAAAUGUCCACGCCAACUGCUUCUUCUCCAUCUGUAUAACGCGUGUAGGAGAAUUAUUUUGAUGAUUAUUUGAAGUGGCAUCCACAUAGAGUACAAAGCUAUUCAGCUAGAAAAGCCACAAAUGUACAUCACUUUUAGCCUACAUGACUGAACUCUGCUCCAUGACCUUCUUGAUUCAUGCGGCUCCUGAAUUCAUGUGAAUCGAAUCGCGGAAGAGAUAGGCUUUCAGGGUCAAUACCUCAUGUUCAUGGGAAGGCCGGAGAGGCUGCGUCGAUGUGCAGCCUGAACCCGAGGAGGAGCUCCGUGUCGGUGUCAAAACCGGCGGAUCUCGGGUAGGGGUCCCGAAUUGUGCGUCUAGGAUCGAUGGUAACAGGAGACGGGGGACACGAUGUUUACCCAGGUUCGGGCCCUCUCUAUGGAGGUAAUACCCUACUUCCUGCUUGAUUGAUCUUGAUGAAUAUGGGUGUUACAAGAGUUGAUCUACCAUGAGAUCGUAAUGGCUAAACCCUAGAAGUCUAGCCUAUGUGUAUACGGUAAUGAAUGUCCCCUAUCCGGACUAUGCUCUCCGGUUUAUAUAAACACCGGAGAGAUCUAGGGUUACAUGGAGUCGGUUACAUAAGAAGGAAUCUUCACAGCUGGUCACCUAGCUUGCGUUCCACGCCAAGGGAAGUCCAAUCCGUACACGGGUGUAGUCUUCGGCCUUCGUAUCUUCACAGCCCAUCAGUCCGGCCCAAUGAAUAAUAGGCCGGACGCCCGAGGACCCCUUAGUCCAGGACUCCCUCAGUAGCCCCUGAACCUGGCUUCAAUGACGAGGAGUCUGGCGCGCAGAUUGUCUUCGGCAUUGCAAGGUGGGUUCCCUCCUUCCGAAUUCCGGAAUAGUCUUCGGAUGCAGUAGAUAUAUUUGGACCUGUGUAUAUAAUUGCAAAAAAUACAAUAUUCCACGAGUCUAAUUUGUUGAUAACUGUUUACAACAUCGCAUCACGCCUGCCCGGUUACUAUUUCCAACCGUUGGCUGGCACGUCGCCCCACGUCUCGGGACGCGGUUUUACUGGCACGUCUUGCCAAGGCAGAGAUCGUGUUCCCUUAUUCACGGGACUUUCAUUAAUGCAAGCGUGGGUAACCCAACCGUCCCCUGGGUACAACUCUCUGGGGAUAGGUAAGUUUCGAGACCCAGGUGGAUACCCUUAGUAUUUGGGGUCUUUAUAUAGGGCCCCAGACUCGUCUUCUUCCUUUGCGCUUGCUUCUUCCUCAACCCUAGCCACCCCAAGUUCCAACCCUCGGGUUCCCAUCGCCACCAGCCCUAAUCAUGUCCGAAUCCAGCCGUCAAGGCCGGUGGGUGGCUUCUUCUAUCACAGAGGAGGAUAUUGCAAAGCUCUGCGCAGUGAGGUAUCUGACCCCGGAAAUCCUUCAUCAGCUUCCUGCACAGGGGCAGGUCGUUCCUACCCCCAAAUCCGGCGAGAGGGUAGUGUUUGUGUCCCACUUCCUCCAUGGGUUAGGUUUCGCGCUUAACCCCUUCGUCCGGGGGCUCAUGUUCUACUAUGGGCUAGACUUUCACGAUCUAGCCCCGGACUCUAUUCUUCUCAUCUCGACAUUUAUCGUCACGUGUGAGGCCUUCCUUCGGACUCCUCCGCACUUUGGUUUGUGGCUCAAGACCUUUGAUGUGAGGCCGCAGGUGACAGAGGAGGAGCAGGCAGAGUGUGGCAGCGUCACAAUAGGCAAGCUUGCCAGCGCGGUUUGGUUUGAAGGAUCUUUCACCAAGUCUUCCGACCUAUGGCAGCACGGGUGGUUUUAUAUCAACGAGCCGCGGGGCUCCAAGUGGGAGGCUACGCCUGCGUUCCGACCCGGCCCUCCAAUUCAGCUCGCUUCAUGGAUCAAUAAGGGACUGGACUGGGGAUCCGUCAAUGAAAUGCAGACUCUGCAAGGUCGCAUCCGAAGCCUUACCAAGAAGGGCAUCGGUCUUGUGAACGUCGUUCAAGUAAUGCUAGUCCGCCGGACCCUGCCAUGUCAGCGGCGGCCUCUCCGUAUGUGGGAGUUUAAUUCAGAAGGGCAGCGGCCUCUUCAGCACUUCUUCGGCACCACGCACGAAGGAAUGUGGAAAUUAUAUUUCGGGGAACGAGAGCAAUGGCCGGACACCACCGAAGAUGUCGGCCUUGACUGCAAUCAUCCAGACACCGCGGUAAGUACUCAAACGCUGAACACAUUCAAGCAUCUCUUGACAACAUACUGAACAAUCCGUCCCUAUACAGGACUGGAUAAAGAAAGCAGUGUUAAUCUGGUGUCCGGCGCCCCUUCCCGAAGACUCUGCGACCGCCCUGCUGACGAGAAUGCUGAUUCCCACACCGUACCAGGUUUCUGCGGAGGAGGGCGAGAGCGGGGAACCCGAAGGUGAUACCCGCCCUGAGGACGAAUUAGACAUUGUGUUCGGGGAAACCGAAACUCUUUUGCCCAAGGGCAAAGGUGCGGAGGAAGCUCUCCAUGGCAAAAAGAGGGCUGCUUCCGAAGAUCAGGAGGGGAAGCCUUCCAAGAGAGGAAAAAUGCCAUCGUCGGGCAGUUUGGGCCGGCCAAGCGAUGCUGCCGUAAGGCUUUCUGGCGAGGACGAACCUCUGGCCAAACCGUAAGUGAGGCUGGGGCACUUUAAACAUACCUCAUUCUUUUCCUAUUAGUGAAGUAAUCAUCCGACAUAUGCACAUCCACGUAGGUUAACGCCUGGUGUUUCUCAAUCAUCCUCCUCCUCGGGAGACCUUCUUCCGGAGAUGAUGGAGAGUGACACGCCAUCUCCGGCUUCUUCGCGCAACAGGGGGGAUGAUACCGAGGUAUCGUCCCGAAGGGCUCCUCCCCAUCGUCAAGCGGUGCAGGAAACGGAGAAGGCGUUACCCGAAGGUGGUGCCUCUGUCACCCAGGGUUCGGGAAUCAAGAAUGACGGCCCCGAACCAUCCGGUUUACAGCCGGAGAUGAUUCUGGGGGAGAAUAAGCAGAUUAAUUCAAAGGAAUGCCGUACUCCGGCGGCGGUUUCCGAAGACCCCGGAGCGCCGGAAAUGUUGACGGACAUGCUGCGGCGAGCGUCCAUUUCAGAGAAGCACCAUGCCUUGAUGGUUACGGUGGUCGAAAAGGUUCUAUCCGCGAAAAGCGGAUUGAACGAGGCCUUCUGGAGCCUUCUAAGAGGUUUUGAGGUUUGUGAUGUAGUUUUGCCAAUUGAAUGAUUUUGACAGAAUGCACUUGUUGUAUAUGCAGUAGCCCCUGAGACUCGGAUUGCCUUCCGAAGGAAGCGAUCGGAGGAUAAAAAAGAUAUGCUCAGUUACUAACCUUGAAUCAACUUGGAAUACAGGCUGCCUCGCCUCCUGCGGCUACCCGAAAUACGGAAGUGGCCGAACUGCAGCGAAAGCUGAAUAUUGCAGAAGAUGACAUUGCAUUGAUCAACAAGCGUCUUGACGACUCGCAAGGUAUAUAGUUCGAGCAUUCCUUACACGAAUGUUCUUGUAAUGUAGGCCUGACGCCGAAAAGGGUUUAAUGUGCAUGAUUGCAGAUGGUGUUCCCUCCGUUGAAGCUCCUUGUGAGGAGCUAGCCCGGCCCAAGGAGCAGGCCCGGUGUAGUGAUGCGGCUGCCGAGAAGGCAUCGGCUGAUCUAAGAGCCGAAUAAGCAGCUCGGCGCCGAAGUGAGGAGAAAAUAUCCGCACUGGCGCUUGAAUUGAAGAAUACUGCCAGCCACUGUGAAUUCCUUGAGAAGGAGAAUAAAGCCAAAAUGGCUGAACUUGAUAAGGCCGUUCGAGAGGCGAGUGAAGCUCGGUCUGAAUCUAGGGCAGCUUGGGAAGAGAUUCGGCAGGCUAAGGAGAUAGCGGCCGGUAAGCCCUUUUUGCUUCAGACUAAGUUUGGCGAUCCGGACUAUGCUCAGCUAAACCAGGUCUGGAGUUCUCCGACUGAAUUUUUGGACUUGCCGAAGAGUUCUUCCAAUGCAGCGCAAUUUUACCAAGCGCAAGAGGGGUAUGCGAUGGAGAAGCUUUUCUGGUCACAAUUUGGCGCCUCAAAGCGCCCUCUGUUGCUAAAUGAACAGAUGUCCCAGUGGGCCGAGCUUCAUAGGAUAUCCGGCGACGCCAUGAAGAACGUCAUAAUCCGGUUGUGGCCGAGUGAGCCUGUUCCCAAGAGCUAUUUUGGCCUGGUGCGGCGUCUUGUUGAUGCUGUGCCGCGUAUCGAUGCUGCGAAGCGGUCGGCAUGCACUGAGGGUGCACGGAUGGCCUUUGCCCGAGUCAAGACGUUCUGGGGGAAGAUGAAGGCCAUCGAUGUUGCGGCGAAGGGUCCGCCCAAGGGCAAGGACCGUAAUGAGCCGGAGCAUUAUUUUGAAGACGUCCUAGAAGCCGCCCGCCUGAUAGAGGGUCAAUGCUCGAAGAACAUAAUGUUCGAGUGAGGUGUAUUAGAAUUGUAAAAGACAAUUUUAUGAUUGAUCUAUUUUAUAUUUUUGCUCCAAAGCUUGAAUUCCUCCUCUGCGGCCGUUUUAAUAUAAUAUGAAAGUUUUCCAGUCGUCGGCUUCAGCCCCCUCGUAGGAAGUACGGGGGUGUUCGAAAAAACAUUUAAUCACUCUUUGUCCAAUGUCUUGGUCCGUAAAGGAGGUGAUAAUGCAGCGAACCAGGCAAUCGGACUAUAAGGCGUUAACACUUUCACUUAGCCAUAGGAGUUUUAUGGUGGGGCUACGACAUUGCCCCUGGUGUGUAUGCGGCGUAUAAUGCCUUGCAUAUUUGAUCUGAAAAAGAUCCCUCGUAUGACACGGAGAAUCGCUAAGGAUUCCAAGAAGUCGUCAAGUGGUUAAUCAGCUCUCGCCGCAUCAUGACAGUCAGUUUUCGGCUUUCUCUACUGAGGUGCUCGUCCGGUUUAGAACAGGGCACAAUCGCAGUAGUUCUCCCUUUACUACCCUAGCCGAUAGAGCGGAACGUAGGGUAGCAAGCACAGGAGCCGGGCAACCCAACUAUUGACCCAAGACAAUGAUUCGGAGCUGAUGCAUAUAAGGCCAAACUUGCGACGCCCAAGUACGCUAUAGAGUUGUUGGGACUUUUGCUGGCAACUCUUUCGUUCCCAUACCGAGCCCCUGGCAGGGUAUGCCGAGGUGUAUCUGUAACGCAGCCAUUGAGGCCGUACUCAUUGUUGCAAGAGUAUGAAAGAUUAGUUCGGACGAGGUUUACUGGGAACGGAGCAAUAUGCCAAUGACGAAUUUAAAAAUAAUAAAAAAGAAACCACAAGCCCGGCUAUUUGACAUGCUCGGGGUCGGGUACAGAGGAAAAAAAGGCUUAAUACAGGCUCGGAAUAAAGAGUGUGGUCUACAAAAAGUUAUUUUGGACCUCCUGUCGCACGUCUGCGCCGCCCGUCCUCGGGGAGGGGAAUCCUUAAGGGAAGUAGCCCCUUAGGUGAGUGUACGGAUCCGAACUCCGAUAGAGUCCGUUGUAGAUGCUGUCAUGUUGGUCACCUGUUCUUAAGAAAUGAUACAGAAAAAUAAGAAAAACGGAUAAGAACGUUACAGGGAUUCUUGCAGGCUUGUCCAUAUUGUGCUUCCGCCGAUGCCCAUGGUAUCUUGAGUGCGUAGUGAUGUAUGCGUGGUGUGAAUCUCGCCGGUAUGGUAGGUGGGUGGCGGAUGCCGAACUGCUAUUUCUGUUCCGAGAGUGGUCGAACUUCGGAGGGAAACUGCUUCUGGCCCCUGAUAUUCGGCUGGCGAAACGCUCCGUUGUCUUUAUCGCCUGGUGGCCUCCUCCCCUUGCUAUCGGCGUUGAGCUUGCCUGCCUGCUUGAGGACCCAACAAUUUCUGUUAGUAUGGUUAGCUGGCUUAUCAGGAUGACCAUGAAUCUGACAAGGUCGGUCCAAUAUUCUGUCAAGGGUGGAUGAUCCAUCCUGGUUUGCCUUUAGUGGCUUCUUCCAUUGACCGGGUUUCGAAUUGUGAAAUUCGGCGUUGACCGCUGUGUCGCGUAAUCCUUCAGUAUUAUUGCGACUGUUGUGUUCGGUUCGUCGAGGCUUACCGUUGCCGUCUUGAAUUUCGGAAGUGCCCGGGUCACUGGCGUUGUUGCUCUUACGAGCGAGCCAGGUGUCUUCUCCCGCACAAAAGCGAGUCAUCAGAGCGGUAAGGGCUAUCAUGGAUUUGGGUCCUUCCUGGCCGAGGUGACGCGCUAGCCAUUCAUCCCGGAUGCCAUGUUUGAAGGCUGCGAGGGCUUCUGCGUCCGGACAGUCGACAAUAUGUUUUUUUUUUUGACUAAGAACCUAGUCCAGAGCUCCCUGGCGGACUCGCCGGGCUUCUGGACAAUAUGACCAAAGUCAUCAGCAUCUAGUGGCCGGACAUAUGUUCCCUGGAAGUUGUCUCGAAAGGCGUCUUCCAAGUCUUCCCAGCUACCAAUAGAAUUUUCUGGUAAACUGUUUAGCCAGUACCGGGCUAGCCCUUUAAGCUUGAGAGGUAUGUAUUUAAUGGCAUGAAGGUCGUCUCCGCGAGCCAUGUGGAUAUAUAUGGAGGAGGUAAUCCUCAAUCCAUACCGCGGGAUCUGUUGUUCCAUCGUAUGAUUCGAUAUUAAUGGGUUUAAACCCGUCUGGAAAUUCAUGCUCCAUUACCUCGUCGGUGAAGCAAAGAGGGUGUGCGGCUCCUCUAUGUUGAGCCACACUAUGAAGCACCUCCGGCGGACUCUGUUUACGGAGUUCGGAUCGAGCGUGGUCGGCUCUGUUGUGUCCGAAUAGGUGACCAUCAUUACGGUCGGGGCAUGUCCCCGCGAUCUGUGUAUUGACUUCGUGUGUCAUGUUCUACCCUCCAGGUCCUUGGAUGUCGCGAGUGUUCCCCCGAGCUGUGUUGUUCUUGUUUUGAUGGCCGGAUGGGUUGGUAUGAUGCUCUGCUUGGGCUACUGCUUUGUCCGGACCGAACUGUGGUCGGCCUACAUCCUUAUUCGAUGGUGGUGUGGGCUUCAACGCCCUGCCAUCGUAUUGAGGGGGCCACCUGCUGUUGGGGUGGCUCUUGUCUGGGCCAAUAAGGCCGUAUUGUUCGGCGGCCAAGACCUCGGUCCAUCUAUCAUUGAGCAAAUCUUGGCUCGCUUUAAGCUGCAGCUGCUUCUUUCUUAGGCUCCUUGCAGUGGCUAUGAGCUGGCGUUUAAAGUGCUCCUGCUCGAGAGGUUCCUUAGGCACGAUAAAAUCCUUGUUGUCGAGGAUCUCCUCUUCCUCGGAGAGUGGGAGAUAAUUGCUAUCCUCUGAGUCUCCAUAUGUUACCUGUUCAUCAGGGUUGUCUUGCCCGCCUUCCUGUUCCUCCUGUUCGGAUCCUACCUCAACAGGGUCUUCAUCGUCCGGAGUGUUGUCUUCUCCGGUGCAAGUGUUAUUUUCUCUUGAGCGUCGUGACUUGGAGCGGCGCAAGGCGCGCCGGUGUUCGGACUAUGCACCAGGAGGCUUAUCCUCAAUUGGAUCCUCCUUGUCAUCGUCGAAAGCAUCGUUGGGUGUGUCUAUCAUACACACGUCAUACCAUGAAGUGGUCAUCCCGCGUCUAGCGGGUAGUGAGUUCUGGCCUUGCCCCUCAUCGUCGUCCGUACCGUCGAUGUCUUCAGGGCCGAGGUCAAGCGUGUUGGUUGGGUCUUCGACAGUGGCUAUGAAGUGGGUGGUGGGUGGGAAGCAAAAUUCUCCAUCAUCAGCCGUAAGUUCGAGCCGAACAUAGUUCAGUGGCGAGUCGCCUACCAGAGAUAGGUUUUUUAGUGAGUUUAGUACAUCGCCCAUGGGCGAGUGUUGGAAGACGUCUGCGGCGCUGAACUUGAAGAUCGAUAACCGAUCGAGUUCGGCAUCUGCAGACUCGCAAGGUUCGGAACCUGUCGCCGGGGACGAAUCCGGGGUUCCGCUGAUGCGGAUAUCAUACGCAGUAGAAUCUGUGUGCGGCUCGAACGCCGCCGAAUCGGUAGCCCUCGUGAUGGGGUUGAGCUUCCCAUCCCGGGACGACUUGAUCUGCUCCGGAUCUAAGGCCAGAGUUGCUGUAGGAGCUAUCUCCUCGAUGCGGCCCAAUGACAGGUUUAAGCCAUGUCCAUCGAGGCGGCGGGAGCGAUUGCCGCGGUCUUGAAUCCGUCGAAGAUCAAGUCUCCACGGACGUCCCCAACGUAGUUCAAGCUUCCGAAUCUGACCUGAUGGCCAGGGGCGUAGCUGUCGAUCUGCUCCAGAUGGCCAAGCGAGUUGGCCCGCAGUACGAUGCCACCGAACACGAAGAUCUGUCCGGGGAAAAAGGUUUCUCCCUGGACAACGUCACCAUCGACGAUUGAAGGGGCCAUCGAACCUUUUGUCGACGGCACAGUGGAACUCUCAAUGAAAGCACCAAUGUCGGUGUCAAAACCGGCGGAUCUCGGGUAGGGGGUCCCGAACUGUGCUUCUAGGAUCGAUGGUAACAGGAGACGGGGGACACGAUGUUUACCCAGGUUCCGGCCCUCUCUAUGGAGGUAAUACCCUACUUCCUGCUCUAUUGAUCUUGAUGAAUAUGAGUGUUACAAGAGUUGAUCUACCACGAGAUCGUAAUGGCUAAACCCUAGAAGUCUAGCCUAUGUGUAUAUGGUAAUGAAUGUCCCCUAUCCGGACUAUGCUCUCCGGUUUAUAUAGACACCGGAGAGAUCUAGAGUUACAUGGAGUCGGUUACAUAAGAAGGAAUCUUCACAGCUGGUCGCCUAGCUUGCCUUCCACGCCAAGGAAAGUCCAAUCCGGACACGGGUGUAGUCUUCGGCCUUCGUAUCUUCACAGCCCAUCAGUCCGGCCCAAUGAAUAACAGGCCGGACGCCCGAGGACCCCUUAGUCCAGGACUCCCUCACUCGGAGACCUUCUUGUGGGGACCAUCUACGAGAGGAAGUAAAGAGGGAGAUCAGAAGAGGAUACAUGAGAGGUUAGGGUGGGGAGGAGGCUGCGCCGGCGAGCGGCCACGGCUCAAGGCGGUCCGGCCGACGAGGAGGACGAACAAGGGAGAGGAAGAUGCAGAUCGGCAAACUGUGGGUUGGGCUUAUGACGUUGGGUUCUCACAAAACUAUAGCCCAUUUCGAAUUUGGUGCCCGUGACGACACACACACAACGCUUAUGUUGGGCCUAAUCACUCACUUCCAGCCCCCAACUCUGAUUUCCCCCUCAAAGAAAAACAAAACUUCAACCCUUCUCACUCCCCAUGAUCACAACAACAACAACAGAAAUAUCUAUAUGCAAGAUCAGGAAAUAUCUAUAAGGGGCAUUCAGAACACAUGUGACCUAAUCGCUAUAACAGCUUGAUAUUAUGGUGGGAUAGACAUAAACUGGUUCACGAAGGAAAGUUUCAUGAUGCAAACCAAAAUUCAAGGGGAGCACGUGCUAUAAUGGCAAACUAUGUUAAUGCCUACUCCCCUAAAGCAACUAGUAAAACAGGGGGAUGGAGUAUCCCUUCUAGGGUUUUUGUGAAGCUGAAUAUUGAUGUAUCUUUUCAUCAUGGUCUGCUUCAGGGUACAUCGGGGGUUAUUCUUAGACAUUACAAAGGCAGGCUCAUUGUCGGUGGAAACUGGAGGAUAGAUUGUCGUGCGGAUGUAUUAGCAGCAGAAGUUGUGGUGCUAAAGUUUGGGUUAUUCCUUGCACAGAAGGCGGAUUGCAAUCGUCUUGUUGUUAACUCGUACAGUACAUAAGUGAUUGACACAAUAAAGAAUGGAUGACACUCGACCGGAGCGGCGGUUGUAGUUUUCUAUGAUUGUUAAUUUUUGGGCUUGUGAUUUUUCUUUUAUUAGAUUUGAACUUUGUAAUAGGGAAGUAAAUAAGAUGGCAAAUGAAAUUGCUAGGCCAGCGAAAUUUUUUGUCACUAGUGAUUGGUUUGAGGAGUGAAUGAGAUUGUGCCUUUUUUAUUGACAAUGUAACAGUUGUUUCUAAUAAAUAAAGUUGAAGUUUUAUUGAAAAGGACAACAACAAGAAAAAAUAUCCUCAUCUUGUCCCAAGGGAUCUGAAACCCCAGUAUCCUUGCAUCUUUCUUUUGCAUGGCAUGUACAUAAGAUUUUCUUUGUUAGUAGCAUGUGUUGUUGGCGGUGGCGGCAUGAUGUUAGAGGUGACAUGUGUGGACGGAUGAUUGUUUCGACUCCAUUUAUUCUUAGGGCCUGUACAAUGCUAGGUGUUCAGCGAAGUGCUUAGAAAAAUAAACUGAGUUUUUAAAGCAUUUUUUAAGCACCGAUGUCUAUUUCUAAUGAUGAGAGACACCUAAUUAGACGUUUACCCUAUACAAAUAAACGUCGAUGCUUUAAGAAAUACUGAUUUAUUUAUCUAACAACCUUUCUUACGCACCUUACAUGGUAAGGUUCGAGAGCUAGUGGCGUCUUGGUUUCUCUUGUUUCUGUCACAUCAAUAUCAUGCUUUGGAUAUAUUCCAGUGCCCUUUUAUUGAUCACUGCCUAUGGCCAUUGAAAUGAGAUCUGGGACUCGGCCAGCUGCAAGAUACCUCUAGAAAGCGAAUUUCCUCUGACGCACAUAUGAAAUAUGACAGUACAAAAUAGAACAAACACUAAGAUUAGACAGAUGAUUGGAUGAUGUAACUAACUUAGACAUCGCUGCACCCAGGACGGACUUUCUUCUCAGACAUCAGAGAGAAACUGAGUGUCCAUGCUGUCAGAGACGCUGGCCAUUGGGCGUUGUCAGUGACUUUAGUCUCGCCUCGGAUAUGGGAGGGGCUAGAACCACCUUAUAAGGAGGAGUGCCACACUCCCUUCAGGCUAGUCUUUUGCGAUGUGGUGGACUCUUUGCUUAUAGUGGUGUGUCUGAUGCACACCGGAAACGUCCGAACAUAUGCCGAAGGUUGGGAGCCGGGCCUGGGACGCUAACAAUUGGUAUCAUAGCUGGGCCCCAGUCUGCCCUGUUUUAGGGGGAUGAGGUGUCAGAGACGCUGGCCAUUGGGCGUUGCCAGUGACUUUAGUCCCACCUCGAAUAUGGGAGGGGGCUAGGACCACCUUAUAAGGAGGAGUGCCACACUUCCUUCAGGCUAGUCUUUUGGGAUGUGAUGGACUCUUUGCUUAUAGUGGUGUGUCCGAUGCGCACCGAAAAUGUUCGAACAUAUGCCAGAGGUUGGGAGCUGGGCCUGGAACGCUAACACAUGCCAACUGCUUCUCCUCCACUCCACCUGCAUAGCACGCAUAGGAGGAAAUUUGAUGAUUAUUUGAAGUGAUAUCCACAUAAAGCACAGAGUUACUCAGCUAGCAAAGCACCUAUGUACAUCACUGUAUGGCUACCCAACUGAAAAUUCUGCUUCCUGACCCUCCUGAUUCAUGCGGGUGGCAUGGAGAUGGGUACGCCUCUCGAAUCCAUGUGAAUCGAAUCGUUGGAACAGAUGGACGGACAGGGUCGAUACCUUGUGUAGAUGGGGAGGGGAGGCCGGAGUGGCUGCCGUCGACCGACGUACGGCCCGCAGCCGACGGAGGAGCUUCAAAAGUGACCUUUUUGUCGAGCGAUGGCGGUGGUGGUGGGGUGCCGGAUGCGGAGGGUGGUGGGAAGCCGGAUGCGGAGGGUGGAAGGAAGGCUGACGCCUCCGUCGCCGCGGACGUACGAGGAGCGGCCGCGAGCGGUGGGGUCCGGGAGAGGCUGCGCCGGCGAGCGGUCCGGCCGGCGAGGAGGACGGGGAAGGGGAGACGAAGACGACGCAGAUCGGCGGAGUGUGGGCUGGGCUUGUGACGUUGGGGCCUCCGAAAACUAUAUCCCAGUUCGAAUUUGGUGCCCUAACACACAACUCUUACGUUGGGCCUAAUCACUCCCUCCUGGCUCCAUCUAUCAUUCCCCAAAAAAAAUCCUUCACACAUAGAUGGAACUGAUGAUUCUCAAAAGAAAAAGAGAUGGAACUGAUUGUGUCAUGUCUUAAAAAAAAGAUCGAACUGAUUGUCUAAAAAAAACAUAGAUGGAACUGAUGAUUUAUCUCCGAAAAAAAGAUGGAACUGAUGAUGACGUGUCUAGAGUUAGGACCGGAUAUAUGUUAGUAGGAGUAGCUUGUAAGAAAUUACCAUCCUUUACAUAUAACGGGAAUUCGAUGAGUCAUGUCAUGCUCUAGAGGCGUCAGUUCAUCUUAUCAUCUUAGAGGAAACUACAAAGUUAUUUUUAUGAAAAGCAACCAACUCUAGAAGAACCCUCCACACGCAAGGCUUUAAUAAUCGAGCAUAUCUUAACAGCCCACACACGAUUGCAAACUUAGUCCUACACAAGCUUUGCCUUUCUUCUUUACGGCUGACAGCCUAUACAAGGUUUCAAACUCGGUUGCAAAAGUGAUACUAUCCUGAUAAGUGUGUGACAUGUAAAGUGAAUAAGGUGAGUCAUAUAUAGCAAACAUCGGGGUUUCUGUACUUUGUGUGUGAUCAUAUGCACAAUUAAAAAGCAACUUUGAUGAUCAAUCCAAAAGUACGCGUGUAGCUAGUGCAACCUAACGCAUUGUACCAAAAAUCAUUUCAGAUGCAUCCAAACGGAAUAAUUAAAGCUAAUGCAAAGAAGAAAAGAGGUGGUGCCCAGGCUACUAUAAAUAGGCAUGAAGUAUAAAGAUCAUCACAAGCACAAGCAUCAAAACCAAGCAACACUAGUUAACACUAAUCCACCAUGAAGACCUUCCUCAUCUUUGCCCUCCUCGCCGUUGCGGCAACAAGUGCCAUUGCACAAAUGGAGAAUAGCCACAUCCCUGGUUUGGAGAAACCAUCGCAGCAACAACCAUUACCACUGCAACAAACAUUAUCGCACCAACAACAACAACAACCUGUCCAACAACAACCACAACCAUUUCCACAACAGCAACCAUGUUCACAGCAACAACAACCACCAUUAUCGCAGCAACAACAACCACCAUUUUCACAACAACAACCACCAUUUUCGCAGCAACAACAACCAUCAUUUUCGCAGCAACAACAACCACCAUUUUCACAGCAACAACCACCAUUUUCGCAGCAACAACAACCAGUUCUACCGCAACAACCAUCAUUUUCGCAGCAACAACUACCACCAUUUUCACAGCAACAACCACCGUUUUCGCAACAACAACAACCAGUACUACCGCAACAACCACCAUUUUCGCAACAACAACAACCAAUUCUACCGCAACAACCACCAUUUUCGCAACAACAACAACAACCAGUUCUACCGCAACAACAAAUACUAUUUGUUCAUCCAUCUAUCUUGCAGCAGCUAAACCCAUGCAAGGUAUUCCUCCAGCAGCAAUGCAGCCCUGUGGCAAUGCCACAAAGUCUUGCUAGGUCGCAAAUGUUGCAGCAGAGCAGUUGCCAUGUGAUGCAACAACAAUGUUGCCAGCAGUUGCUGCAAAUCCCCCAGCAAUCCCGCUAUGAGGCAAUCCGUGCUAUCAUCUACUCCAUCAUCCUGCAAGAACAACAACAGGUUCAGGGUUCCAUCCAAACUCAGCAGCAGCAACCCCAAGAGUUGGGCCAAUGUGUUUCCCAACCCCAACAGCAGUCGCAGCAGCAACUCGGGCAACAACCUCAACAACAACAAUUGGCACAGGGUACCUUUUUGCAGCCACACCAGAUAGCUCAGCUUGAGGUGAUGACUUCCAUUGCGCUCCGUACCCUACCAACGAUGUGCCGUGUCAAUGUGCCGUUGUAUAGAACCACCACUAGUGUGCCAUUCGGCGUUGGCGCCGGAGUUGGUGCCUACUGAUAAGGAAAGGUCUCUAGUAAUAUAUAGUUGGAUCACCGUUGUUUAGUCGAUGGAUAUGUCGAUGCAGCGGUGACAAAUAAAGUGUCACACAACGUCGUGUGUGACCCGCCCAAACUAGUUGUUUAAAUUCUGAAAUAAAAUACAAAUAAAGUUGUAUCAAGACAAUGUUCAUAUUGGCAUUGUGUGGAUGUCCAUAUGAUUGCCAUGCUUGCAAGUUCAUAAGUUUGUCUUUCCUGGUCACAAGCGCAACCUGGUGCCUUAAUUAAUUAUGCAUGUAUUGGAAUAAUUACUAUUUAAAUAUAAUAGUGUUACUGUAAAAUUUGGGUUGAACUCUUUAUCGGUUGGAGAUUUGAGAUCUUGUUUUUUAUUGGUUUGUAUCUAGUUCCAACUACUACCAUUGUCUAUAGUGACAAUCACAACCAGUUUUAUCGUUAAUCAUGUUUGCUUUCU